This 378-nucleotide unclassified non-coding RNA is filed under the name plant metagenome. RNAcentral's name for it is "partial contains 5.8S ribosomal RNA, internal transcribed spacer 2, and large subunit ribosomal RNA". The stretch from base 1 to 105 matches the Rfam family "5.8S ribosomal RNA", at positions 50 to 154 of the family's 154-position model. The record is from RNAcentral.
GAAAUGCGAUAAAUAAUGUGAAUUGCAGAAUUCAGUGAAUCAUCGAAUCUUUGAACGCACCUUGCGCUCCUUGGUAUUCCUUGGAGCAUGCCUGUUUGAGUAUCAUGAAAUCUUCAAAGUAAAUCUUUUGUUAACUCAAUUGGUUUCUACUUUGGUAUUGGAGGUCUUUGCAGCUUCACACCUGCUCCUCUUUGUUCAUUAGCUGGAUCUCAGUGUUAUGCUUGGUUCCACUCGGCGUGAUAAGUUAUCUAUCGCUGAGGACACUGUAAAAGGUGGCCAAGGUAAAUGCAGAUGAACCGCUUCUAAUAGUCCAUUGACUUGGACAAUACUUUUAUGAUCUGAUCUCAAAUCAGGUAGGACUACCCGCUGAACUUAAGC